CCUACGGGAGGCAGCAGUGGGGAAUCUUGGACAAUGGGGGCAACCCUGAUCCAGCCAUGCCGCGUGAGUGAUGAAGGCCUUAGGGUCGUAAAGCUCUUUCGCCUGUGAAGAUAAUGACGGUAGCAGGUAAAGAAACCCCGGCUAACUCCGUGCCAGCAGCCGCGGUAAUACGGAGGGGGUUAGCGUUGUUCGGAAUUACUGGGCGUAAAGCGCGCGUAGGCGGAUUAGUCAGUCAGAGGUGAAAUCCCAGGGCUCAACCCUGGAACUGCCUUUGAUACUGCUAGUCUUGAGUUCGAGAGAGGUAAGUGGAAUUCCGAGUGUAGAGGUGAAAUUCGUAGAUAUUCGGAGGAACACCAGUGGCGAAGGCGGCUUACUGGCUCGAUACUGACGCUGAGGUGCGAAAGUGUGGGGAGCAAACAGGAUUAGAUACCCUGGUAGUCCACACCGUAAACGAUGAAUGCCAGUCGUCGGGUAGCAUGCUGCUCGGUGACACACCUAACGGAUUAAGCAUUCCGCCUGGGGAGUACGGUCGCAAGAUUAAAACUCAAGGAAUUGACGGGG
This 561-nucleotide ribosomal RNA is filed under the name uncultured bacterium. Its description in RNAcentral is "bacterial SSU rRNA". It matches the Rfam family "Bacterial small subunit ribosomal RNA", at positions 338 to 918 of the family's 1533-position model. The record is from RNAcentral.